Molecule: ribosomal RNA, 453 nt
Filed under: uncultured bacterium
Lineage: Bacteria
Description: bacterial SSU rRNA
Rfam family: Bacterial small subunit ribosomal RNA
Source: RNAcentral
AGAGUUUGAUCCUGGCUCAGAAUGAACGCUGGCGGCAGGCCUAACACAUGCAAGUCGAACGAGGUAGCAAUACCUAGUGGCGGACGGGUGAGUAACACGUGGGAACGUACCCUUUGCUACGGAAUAGCCCUGGGAAACUGGGAGUAAUACCGUAUGAGCCCGAGAGGGGAAAGAUUUAUCGGCAAAGGAUCGGCCCGCGUUGGAUUAGGUAGUUGGUGGGGUAAUGGCCUACCAAGCCGACGAUCCAUAGCUGGUUUGAGAGGAUGAUCGGCCACACUGGGACUGAGACACGGCCCAGACUCCUACGGGAGGCAGCAGUGGGGAAUCUUAGACAAUGGGGGAAACCCUGAUCUAGCCAUGCCGCGUGAUCGAUGAAGGCCUUAGGGUUGUAAAGAUCUUUCAGGUGGGAAGAUAAUGACUGUACCACCAGAAGAAGCCCCGGCUAACUCCGUG